This 253-nucleotide ribosomal RNA is filed under the name uncultured bacterium. Its description in RNAcentral is "partial 16S ribosomal RNA". It matches the Rfam family "Bacterial small subunit ribosomal RNA", at positions 524 to 776 of the family's 1533-position model. The record is from RNAcentral.
UACGAAGGGGGCUAGCGUUGCUCGGAAUUACUGGGCGUAAAGCGCACGUAGGCGGCUUUCUAAGUCGGGGGUGAAAUCCUGGAGCUCAACUCCAGAACUGCCUUCGAUACUGGAAAGCUCGAGUCCGGGAGAGGUGAGUGGAACUGCGAGUGUAGAGGUGAAAUUCGUAGAUAUUCGCAAGAACACCAGUGGCGAAGGCGGCGACCUGGGCCAAUACUGACGCUGAGGUGCGAAAGCGUGGGGAGCAAACAGG